Molecule: ribosomal RNA, 445 nt
Filed under: uncultured archaeon
Lineage: Archaea
Description: partial 16S ribosomal RNA
Rfam family: Archaeal small subunit ribosomal RNA
Source: RNAcentral
GUGCAGCAGUCGCGAAAACUCCGCAAUACGCGAAAGCGUGACGGGGCUACCCCGAGUGUCGUCCGCUGAGGACGACUUUUCCACGCUGUAAGGAGGCGUGGGAAUAAGGAGAGGGCAAGUCUGGUGUCAGCCGCCGCGGUAAUACCAGCUCUCCGAGUGGUAGGGACGAUUAUUGGGCUUAAAGCGUCCGUAGCCGGCUCAGCAAGUCUCCCGUUAAAUCCAACGAUUCAAUCGUUGGACUGCGGGAGAUACUGUUGAGCUAGGAGGCGGGAGAGGCCGACGGUAUUCCCGGAGUAGGGGUGAAAUCUUAUAAUUCCGGGAGGACCACCAGUGGCGAAGGCUGUCGGCUAGAACGCGCUCGACGGUGAGGGACGAAAGCUGGGGGAGCGAACCGGAUUAGAUUUGGAAAGGAGAAAUAUCCUUCCACUGAAGACCCGGGUAGUCC